UGAAAGGAACCAGGAACCUAGUGAAUGAA
This 29-nucleotide non-coding RNA is filed under the name Mus musculus (house mouse). Lineage: Eukaryota; Metazoa; Chordata; Mammalia; Rodentia; Muridae. The record is from RNAcentral.